GCGUGAGUAACCUGCCCUGGAGUGGGGGACAACCGUCGGAAACGACUGCUAAUACCGCAUAAGCCCACGGCCCGGCAUCGGGCUGAGGGAAAAGGAUUUAUUCGCUUCAGGAUGGACUCGCGUCCAAUUAGCUAGUUGGUGAGGUAACGGCCCACCAAGGCGACGAUUGGUAGCCGGACUGAGAGGUUGAACGGCCACAUUGGGACUGAGACACGGCCCAGACUCCUACGGGAGGCAGCAGUGGGGGAUAUUGCACAAUGGGGGAAACCCUGAUGCAGCGUUUUCUGCGUGGAGGAAGAAGGUUUUCGGAUUGUAAACUCCUGUCGUUAGGGACGAUAAUGACGGUACCUAACAAGAAAGCACCGGCUAACUACGUGCCAGCAGCCGCGGUAAAACGUAGGGUGCAAGCGUUGUCCGGAAUUACUGGGUGUAAAGGGAGCGCAGGCGGACCGGCAAGUUGGAAGUGAAAACUAUGGGCUCAACCCAUAAAUUGCUUUCAAAACUGCUGGGCCUUGAGUAGUGCAGAGGUAGGUGGAAUUCCCGGUGUAGCGGUGGAAUGCGUAGAUAUCGGGAGGAACACCAGUGGCGAAGGCGACCUACUGGGCACCAACUGACGCUGAGGCUCGAAAGCAUGGGUAGCAA
This 642-nucleotide ribosomal RNA is filed under the name uncultured bacterium. RNAcentral describes it as "bacterial SSU rRNA". It matches the Rfam family "Bacterial small subunit ribosomal RNA", at positions 115 to 771 of the family's 1533-position model. The record is from RNAcentral.